RNAcentral lists this ribosomal RNA (253 nucleotides) under uncultured bacterium. Its description in RNAcentral is "partial 16S ribosomal RNA". It matches the Rfam family "Bacterial small subunit ribosomal RNA", at positions 524 to 776 of the family's 1533-position model. The record is from RNAcentral.
UACGUAGGGGGCUAGCGUUGUCCGGAUUUAUUGGGCGUAAAGAGCGUGUAGGCGGCCAGGUAGGUCUGGUGUGAAAACUCGAGGCUUAACCUCGAGAUGUCAUCGGAAACCAUCUGGCUAGAGUCCGGAAGAGGAGAGUGGAAUUCCUGGUGUAGCGGUGAAAUGCGCAGAUAUCAGGAGGAACACCAAUUGCGAAGGCAGCUCGCUGGGACGUUACUGACGCUGAGGAGCGAAAGCGUGGGGAGCAAACAGG